Molecule: long non-coding RNA, 412 nt
Organism: Balaenoptera acutorostrata (minke whale)
Lineage: Eukaryota; Metazoa; Chordata; Mammalia; Artiodactyla; Balaenopteridae
Exons: 2
Source: RefSeq, a predicted model, not a curated record
GGAAGUGACCUCUCCUGGUAUCCACACUGUAUACUGAGAACCUGAACUUUUCUAUUAGAGAGGUGUCAUGAACAGGCCCAGCAACAGGACGACUUCCCUGGUGGCGCAGUGGUUAAGAAUCCACCUGCCAAUGCAGGGGACACGGGUUUGAGACCUGGUCCAGAAAGAUCCCACAUGCCGCGGAGCAACUAAGACCGUGCGCCACAAUUACUGAGCCUGCGAGCCACAACUACUGAAGCCUGCGCACCUAGAGCCUGUGCUCCGCAACAAGAGAAGCCACCGCAAUGAGAAGCCUGUGCACCGCAACGAAGAGUAGCCCCUGCUCACCACAACUAGAGAAAGCCCACGCGCAGCAACAAAGACCCAACGCAGCCAAAAAUAAAUAAAGAAAUAAAGAAAUUUAUAAAAGCAA